GACGAACGCUGGCGGCGUGCCUAAUACAUGCAAGUAGAACGCUGAAGAGAGGAGCUUGCUCUUCUUGGAUGAGUUGCGAACGGGUGAGUAACGCGUAGGUAACCUGCCUUGUAGCGGGGGAUAACUAUUGGAAACGAUAGCUAAUACCGCAUAACAAUGGAUGACCCAUGUCAUUUAUUUGAAAGGGGCAAAUGCUCCACUACAAGAUGGACCUGCGUUGUAUUAGCUAGUAGGUGAGGUAACGGCUCACCUAGGCGACGAUACAUAGCCGACCUGAGAGGGUGAUCGGCCACACUGGGACUGAGACACGGCCCAGACUCCUACGGGAGGCAGCAGUAGGGAAUCUUCGGCAAUGGGGGCAACCCUGACCGAGCAACGCCGCGUGAGUGAAGAAGGUUUUCGGAUCGUAAAGCUCUGUUGUAAGUCAAGAACGAGUGUGAGAGUGGAAAGUUCACACUGUGACGGCAGCUUACCAGAAAGGGACGGCUAACUACGU
RNAcentral lists this ribosomal RNA (496 nucleotides) under uncultured bacterium. RNAcentral describes it as "partial 16S ribosomal RNA". It matches the Rfam family "Bacterial small subunit ribosomal RNA", at positions 28 to 506 of the family's 1533-position model. The record is from RNAcentral.